AUUGAACGCUGGCGGCAUGCCUUACACAUGCAAGUCGAACGGUAACAGGUCUUCGGAUGCUGACGAGUGGCGAACGGGUGAGUAAUACAUCGGAACGUGCCCGAUCGUGGGGGAUAACGGAGCGAAAGCUUUGCUAAUACCGCAUACGAUCUACGGAUGAAAGCAGGGGACCGCAAGGCCUUGCGCGGACGGAGCGGCCGAUGGCAGUUUAUAGGUAGUUGGUGGGAUAAAAGCUUACCAAGCCGACGAUCUGUAGCUGGUCUGAGAGGACGACCAGCCACACUGGGACUGAGACACGGCCCAGACUCCUACGGGAGGCAGCAGUGGGGAAUUUUGGACAAUGGGCGCAAGCCUGAUCCAGCCAUGCCGCGUGCAGGAUGAAGGCCUUCGGGUUGUAAACUGCUUUUGUACGGAACGAAAAGACUCUUUCUAAUAAAGAGGGUCCAUGACGGUACCGUAAGAAUAAGCACCGGCUAACUACGUG
RNAcentral lists this ribosomal RNA (484 nucleotides) under uncultured bacterium. Its description in RNAcentral is "bacterial SSU rRNA". It matches the Rfam family "Bacterial small subunit ribosomal RNA", at positions 30 to 507 of the family's 1533-position model. The record is from RNAcentral.